GUCUGGGCUGGGCGUUGAGCUGGAAAUGAUUGGAUUAGUGACCAACGUACCGGGCGCACAAUUGGAGCGCUAAUUAAUUUGCACUCAACAUGCUACAACUCGUUCCAAAGCUCUGGCUGGGGCCCAUCGAAAGGAAGGGGCAAGAUCUGACAUCUAAAAAUAGUUUUGUAUUCUCUUGCUAUUCUAAAGUUAGCCACAAAAUGACAUAACAGCUUGCCUUCAUCUUGCGGCGUCCAGCUGCAGUGUUUCACUUUUCCGUUUGAUAAGUCGCUGUUGCAACCGAGUUAUCCCAGCCAAGUGCCGUGCGGCAUGCGCCGGAUUACAGAAUGUUGGUCAAGGAGAGAAUCACCUAGAGAGAAGAGAAAAAUAUUUAUAUUUAGUAAUAUUUUGCUUGAUUUUAAUUGAAAUUUUUAUCGGCAAAUAUAUUGUAUCACUUACUAAUGAACAUACAUAUGAAAC
Long non-coding RNA from Drosophila mojavensis, 459 nucleotides. RefSeq lists it as uncharacterized. The transcript is spliced from 2 exons. NCBI's taxonomy places the organism in Eukaryota, Metazoa, Arthropoda, Insecta, Diptera, Drosophilidae. The record is from RefSeq and is a predicted model, not a curated record.